RNAcentral lists this ribosomal RNA (406 nucleotides) under uncultured bacterium. RNAcentral describes it as "partial 16S ribosomal RNA". It matches the Rfam family "Bacterial small subunit ribosomal RNA", at positions 30 to 526 of the family's 1533-position model. The record is from RNAcentral.
AUUGAACGCUGGCGGCAGGCUUAACACAUGCAAGUCGAGCGAGCGGCGGACGGGUGAGUAAUGUCUGGGAAACUGCCUGAUGGAGGGGGAUAACUACUGGAAACGGUAGCUAAUACCGCAUACCAUCAGAUGUGCCCAGAUGGGAUUAGCUAGUAGGUGGGGUAAUGGCUCACCUAGGCGACGAUCCCUAGCUGGUCUGAGAGGAUGACCAGCCACACUGGAACUGAUACACGGUCCAGACUCCUACGGGAGGCAGCAGGGGGGAAUAUUGCACAAUGGGCGAAAGACUGAUGCAGACAUGCCGCGUGUGUGAAGAAGGCCUUCGGGUUGUAAAGCACUUUCAGCAAGGAGGCGUUACUCACAGAAGAAGCACCGGCUAACCCCGUGCCAGCAGCCGCGGUAAUUC